This 522-nucleotide ribosomal RNA is filed under the name uncultured bacterium. RNAcentral's name for it is "bacterial SSU rRNA". It matches the Rfam family "Bacterial small subunit ribosomal RNA", at positions 8 to 518 of the family's 1533-position model. The record is from RNAcentral.
AGGGUUCGAUUCUGGCUCAGGAUGAACGCUAGCUACAGGCUUAACACAUGCAAGUCGAGGGGCAUCAUGGAGUUUGCUUGCAAACUCUGAUGGCGACCGGCGCACGGGUGAGUAACGCGUAUCCAACCUUCCCUAUAGUAGAGGAUAGCCCGGCGAAAGUCGGAUUAAUACUCUAUGUUUUCCGUUGCAGACAUCUAAGAUGGAACAAAGGCUUGCCGCUAUAGGAUGGGGGAUGCGUCUGAUUAGGUAGUCGGCGGGGUAACGGCCCACCGAGCCAUCGAUCAGUAGGGGUUCUGAGAGGAAGGUCCCCCACAUUGGAACUGAGACACGGUCCAAACUCCUACGGGAGGCAGCAGUGAGGAAUAUUGGUCAAUGGGCGAGAGCCUGAACCAGCCAAGUAGCGUGCAGGACGACGGCCCUAUGGGUUGUAAACUGCUUUUAUGCGGGGAUAAAGUUCACUACGUGUAGUGUUUUGUAGGUACCGCAUGAAUAAGGACCGGCUAAUUCCGUGCCAGCCGCGGC